CAGUCGAGCGAACAGAUAAGGAGCUUGCUCCUUUGACGUUAGCGGCGGACGGGUGAGUAACACGUGGGUAACCUACCUAUAAGACUGGAAUAACUCCGGGAAACCGGGGCUAAUGCCGGAUAACAUUUAGAACCGCAUGGUUCUAAAGUGAAAGAUGGUUUUGCUAUCACUUAUAGAUGGACCCGCGCCGUAUUAGCUAGUUGGUAAGGUAAUGGCUUACCAAGGCAACGAUACGUAGCCGACCUGAGAGGGUGAUCGGCCACACUGGAACUGAGACACGGUCCAGACUCCUACGGGAGGCAGCAGUAGGGAAUCUUCCGCAAUGGGCGAAAGCCUGACGGAGCAACGCCGCGUGAGUGAUGAAGGGUUUCGGCUCGUAAAACUCUGUUAUUAGGGAAGAACAAACGUGUAAGUAACUGUGCACGUCUUGACGGUACCUAAUCAGAAAGCCACGGCUAACUACGUGCCAGCAGCCGCGGUAAUACGUAGGUGGCAAGCGUUAUCCGGAAUUAUUGGGCGUAAAGCGCGCGUAGGCGGUUUCUUAAGUCUGAUGUGAAAGCCCACGGCUCAACCGUGGAGGGUCAUUGGAAACUGGGAGACUUGAGUGCAGAAGAGGAAAGUGGAAUUCCAUGUGUAGCGGUGAAAUGCGCAGAGAUAUGGAGGAACACCAGUGGCGAAGGCGACUUUCUGGUCUGUAACUGACGCUGAUGUGCGAAAGCGUGGGGAUCAAACAGGAUUAGAUACCCUGGUAGUCCACGCCGUAAACGAUGAGUGCUAAGUGUUAGGGGGUUUCCGCCCCUUAGUGCUGCAGCUAACGCAUUAAGCACUCCGCCUGGGG
RNAcentral lists this ribosomal RNA (838 nucleotides) under Staphylococcus cohnii. RNAcentral's name for it is "bacterial SSU rRNA". It matches the Rfam family "Bacterial small subunit ribosomal RNA", at positions 59 to 878 of the family's 1533-position model. The record is from RNAcentral. Lineage: Bacteria; Bacillati; Bacillota; Bacilli; Caryophanales; Staphylococcaceae.